CUGUGACCUUGAAUGUAAAAAUGUUAAAGUUCUUAUUUCAUGUUAUAACUUUGGUAUGCUUGUACCUAGAGUCUUCAAACUUGAAAUAAAGAUUGGCCAGUACUAGAAGAUGACCACUGGUCAUUUCAAUGUCAUUCAUUUGAAGGUCAAGGUCACUGUGACCUUAAAUGUUAAAAUGUUAAAAUUGUUAUAACUUUGGUAUGCUUGGACAUAGAGUCUUCAAACUUGACAUGAAGGUUUGCAAGCACACUUAGAUGACCACUGGUCAUUUCAAGGUCAUUCAUUCUAAGGUCAAGGUCACUGUGACCUUGAAUGUAAAAAUGUUAAAGUUCUUAUAACUUUGGUAGGUAAAAAUGUUAAAGUUCUUAUUCCAUGUUAUAACUUUGGUAUGCUUGUACCUAGAGUCUUCAAACUGUGACCUUCAAUGUUAAAAUGUUAAAAUUGUUAUAACUUUGGUAUGCUUGGACCUAGAAUCUCAAACUUGACGUAAAGGUUUGCAAGCACACUUAGAUGACCACUGGUCAUUUCAAGGUCAUUCAUUUGAAUGUCAAGGUCACUGUGACCUUCAAUAUAAAAAAUGUUAAAGUUGUUAUAACUUUGGUAUGCUUGGACCUAGAGUCUUGAAACUUGACAUGAAGGUUGGCCAUAACUAGUUAGUAACCACUGGUCAUUUCAAGGUCAUUCAUUUGAAGGUCAAGGUCACUGUGACCUUGAAUGUAAAAAUGUUAAAGUUCUUAUUUCAUGGUAUAACUUUGUCAUGCUUGGACCUAGAGUCUUCAAACUUGACAUGAAGGUUGGCCAGGAUUAACAGAUGACCACUGGUCAUUUCAAGGUCAUUCAUUUGAAGGUGAAGGUCACUGUGACCUUCAAUAUAAAAAUGUUAAAGUUGUUAUAACUUUGGUAUGCUUGGACCUAGAGUCUUGAAACUUGACAUGAAGGUUGGCCAGAACUAGUAAGUAACCACUGUACAUUUCAAGGUCAUUCAUUUGAAGGUCAAGGUCACUGUGACCUUGAAUGUAAAAAUGUUAAAGUUGUUAUAACUUUGGUAUGCUUGGACCUAGAGUCUUGAAACUUGACAUGAAGGUUGGCCAGAACUAGUAAGUAACCACUGGACAUUUCAAGGUCAUUCAUUUGAAGGUCAAGGUCACUGUGACCUUGAAUGUAAAAAUGUUAAAGUUCUUAUUUCAUGUUAUAACUUUGGUAUGCUUGUACCUAGAGUCUUCAAACUUGAAAUAAAGAUUGGCCAGUACUAGAAGAUGACCACUGGUCAUUUCAAUGUCAUUCAUUUGAAGGUCAAGGUCACUGUGACCUUAAAUGUUAAAAUGUUAAAAUUGUUAUAACUUUGGUAUGCUUGGACAUAGAGUCUUCAAACUUGACAUGAAGGUUUGCAAGCACACUUAGAUGACCACUGGUCAUUUCAAGGUCAUUCAUUCUAAGGUCAAGGUCACUGUGACCUUGAAUGUAAAAAUGUUAAAGUUCUUAUAACUUUGGUAGGUAAAAAUGUUAAAGUUCUUAUUCCAUGUUAUAACUUUGGUAUGCUUGUACCUAGAGUCUUCAAACUUGACAUAAAGGUUGGCCAGUACUAGAAGAUCACCACUGCUCAUUUCAAUGUCAUUCAUUUGAAGGUCAAGGUCACUGUGACCUUCAAUGUUAAAAUGUUAAAAUUGUUAUAACUUUGGUAUGCUUGGACCUAGAAUCUCAAACUUGACGUAAAGGUUUGCAAGCACACUUAGAUGACCACUGGUCAUUUCAAGGUCAUUCAUUUCAAUGUCAUUCAUUUGAAGGUCAAGGUCACUGUGAACUUAAAUGUUAAAAUGUUAAAAUUGUUGUAACUUUGGUACUUUCCUGUCAUUUAAAUCAAAAAUCCGGCUUCAAUGCGGUCAUCUCCGACCGCGGAACUCUUGUU
Long non-coding RNA from Dreissena polymorpha, 1906 nucleotides. RefSeq lists it as uncharacterized. Lineage: Eukaryota; Metazoa; Mollusca; Bivalvia; Myida; Dreissenidae. The transcript has 3 exons. The record is from RefSeq and is a predicted model, not a curated record.